Molecule: ribosomal RNA, 965 nt
Filed under: Paraclostridium sordellii
Lineage: Bacteria; Bacillati; Bacillota; Clostridia; Peptostreptococcales; Peptostreptococcaceae
Description: partial 23S ribosomal RNA
Rfam family: Bacterial large subunit ribosomal RNA
Source: RNAcentral
AAGGUAGCGAAAUUCCUUGUCGGGUAAGUUCCGACCUGCACGAAUGGCGUAACGAUUUGGGCGCUGUCUCAACCAUGGACCCGGUGAAAUUGUAUUAUUCGUGAAGAUGCGAAUUACCUGCGGAAGGACGGAAAGACCCCGUGAACCUUUACUGCAGCUUGACAUUGGUCGUUGGCUCGGCGCGUAGAGGAUAGGCAGGAGGCUUCGAAGCGGGGACGCCAGUUCCCGUGGAGCCGGCCUUGGAAUACUGCCCUCGUCGUGUCGGCGACCUAACCUGUGGCCGUGAUCCGGCACAGGGACCGUGUCAGGCGGGUAGUUUGACUGGGGCGGUCGCCUCCCAAAAUGUAACGGAGGCGCGCAAAGGUCCGCUCAGGACGGUCGGCAACCGUCCCGAGAGCGCAAGAGUGCAAGCGGGCUUGACUGCGAGGGCCACAACCCGAGCAGGUGCGAAAGCAGGUUCUAGUGAUCCGGCGGCCCAGAGUGGAAUGGCCGUCGCUCAACGGAUAAAAGGUACUCCGGGGAUAACAGGCUGAUCUUGCCCAAGAGUCCACAUCGACGGCAAGGUUUGGCACCUCGAUGUCGGCUCAUCGCAUCCUGGGGCUGAAGUCGGUCCCAAGGGUACGGCUGUUCGCCGUUUAAAGCGGUACGCGAGCUGGGUUCAGAACGUCGUGAGACAGUUCGGUCCCUAUCCUCCGCAGGCGCAAGAAGAUUGAGGAGAUCUGCCCCUAGUACGAGAGGACCGGGGUGGACGGACCUCUGGUGACGCGGUUGUCGACCAACGGCACCGCCGCCUAGCUACGUCCGGCACGGAUAACCGCUGAAAGCAUCUAAGUGGGAAGCCGUCUCCAAGAUGAGUCUUCUCUUUGGUAAGGGCCCAGGUAGACUACCUGGUCGAUAGGGCGCAGCUGCAAGCACGGCAACGUGUUCAGGCGAGCGCUACUAAUAGCCCGAGCUCUUCUUCACAA